Prionailurus viverrinus (fishing cat) is the source of this 5057-nucleotide long non-coding RNA. RefSeq lists it as uncharacterized. The record is from RefSeq and is a predicted model, not a curated record. The transcript is spliced from 2 exons. Lineage: Eukaryota; Metazoa; Chordata; Mammalia; Carnivora; Felidae.
CGCGGGGCUCGAACUCACGGGCCGCGAGAUCGUGACCUGGCUGACGUCGGACGCUUAACCGACUGCGCCACCCAGGCGCCCCUUUUUUUCUUUUUUUUAAGUUGACGUGCGAUGCUGCCGCGUUGCUUUCAAGUUGUAAUUUGCCUUUUAAAUUUACUUGUUGCAUCUUGCCAGUGGUUUUAAGUUUUGUUGUCAAGUCUGUUAUUUUGACCAUAGUUUCAUACUUUGAUGUUCUGCUGUAUUUCCCACUGGCUUCCUUGUGCUUUCAUUUUUGACAUUUGACAUAACUCUUUAAUCCGUCUAGGAGUCGUGUUGGUGUUUGUACAGUGUGAGGUAAGAAUCCAAUUAAUUCAAGAUGGCUGAUUUCCCCAGCGCCGCUUCCUGGGUGAUGCCUUCUCUACUGAUCUGAAACUUGUUAGUUAUGUACUAAGUACCUUUAAUGUAAUUGAGUAUGUUUCUGAACUUUCUAGUUUGUUCCGCCGAUCUAUCUUUCCUCCGCCAGUCCAGUGUUUUCAUUAUAUUAAGCUUUAUCACAUCUGAUUGUAAAACGUGGUAAUACAAGCCCCUGGCAUUCUUUUUUAAGGUACUCUGAUUUUUACUGGAAUUGCGUUAUGUUUAUCGAUAUGUUAUGACGUUGAGACUUUCCACGUAGGAACGGGCCCCCCCUGUUCGUUUAGGAUUGGAUGAUUUUCGUGUCCUCAGAAAUUUUAGCCCUCUCUUAGGCAAGUUAUGGACAUUUAUGAAGUUCGCUCCUAGAUAUGUUAUAUUCUGUGUUGUGGUUAGAUAUAUUUUUCCAUUAAAAUUCCUGGUUGUGGUAGUAUGUGAUAAGACUUGUUUGAUAGGUAUACGUUAUUUUGGACAUAAAUAGGCUGAUUAUUAAGGCCAAUUGGAAGGCAAUAUAGCAUCCAGGCUAAAAGGGCUUUUGAGUCAGAUGACUCUGAUCUCAUGCUUGACUUGCCCCUUAUUUAUUUUCUGUGCCGUGAGCUCUCUGCCUCAGUUUCUCCAUUUGUAAGAAGGGAUAAUCAUAUUAUCUACUAAGAAGUGGGAUGAGGCUUUAAUGAAAUAAAGAGGCAUUGUGCUCAGUGCUCUGCUGACACGGAGUGAGCACUGUUCUACUGGAGUUUCAGAGUAAGAGUCAUCUUUAAUGGUUCUGCCAUCCAUGUGAUUCAUUCCGUUUUUCUUGCUUCUCUCCUGUCUUGCUGGCAUUGGCUGUAAUCACUAAUGAGCUGUGAGCAUCGUGGUCUUGUUCCCACCCAAUCCGCUGGUGGGAUCUGUCGGCGGAUAGAGAAGGGUCACGCUGGCCCUGGCAGGUGUGCACAAGCCCCAGCAGCACACAUCAGGCUGCCCAUUGGUUGUCAUCCUGACGGUCCUCAGCUGGAGUGAUCUGCUGACAGAGCUCUUCAAAUUUUAAUAUUCACGUAUUUGUUUUAUCAUGUAUUUGAAAAUUGCUGGAUUUCUAUUUAUGGUGGUAAUACAACAUUUCCUUUUAAGAGGAAAUGUUCUCUUUUUAGUUGAAAUGUCCCCCCACAUACUGUAAGAUUCAUGCUGUCAACGUGUACAAUUCAGUGGGUUUUAGUAUGUUCACCGUGUUUUGCCAACCAUCACUGUCAUCCCAUUUCCAGGACUUUUUCAUUUUCCCAAACAGAAGCCUGAUCCCCAUAAAACAGUAACUUCCCAUCCCUCUCUCCCUCCCUCCUCCCGGUUCCCCCCACCCCGCUUUUUUUCCUGCAUUUUCAUUAUUGUAGCUGAUCAAAGUCUGUUUGCAAUAGAUGUGAAUGUGAGUUAAGUACAUGUGACGUUGAUUUGGCAGAGGCAACCUAGUGAUUGGCAAGAACACAGCACGAGCAGCUUCUGCAGGUUGGUGUUCCUCCUCCUGGUUCCUGAUAACCUUUACUAUACUCUCUGUCUAUUUGCCUAUUCUAGGUUCCUCCUACGAAGGGAAUCAUACAUUUGUCCUUUUGUGUCCGUCCUACUUCAGUUAGCACAGUGUUUGCAAGUUUCAUUCACGUGGCAGCAUGUGACAAUACUUGACUCCUUUGUGAGGCCGAAUACGCCCUUGGUGUGGCUACACCACAUUUUGUUUAUCCAGUCAUUUGUGGGACAUUUGGGUUGUUUCCACUCAUUUGGCUAUUAUGAAUAAUAUCUCUAUGCACUUUUUAUUGAAUUUGUUUUAAAUUGUCAUUGGUGUGUGCCUCAGAGUGGAAGUGCUGGGUCAGAUAACUCUGUGCUUAACUUUUUGAGGAUCCGCAGAACUGUCUCCCAGUGUAGCUGCACCAUUUUACAUUCUCGCCAUUAAUUGAUGAGGUUUCUGAUUUCUCCACACCCUCAACCCUUGUUCUUAUUUGGCUGUCUGUGCGUGUGUGUGUGUGUGUGUGUGUGUGUGUGUGUGUGUGUGUGUGUUUAUAUAAGCUCUAUGCCCAGUGUAGGAUUUGAACUCCCAACCUGGGGUCGCAUGCUCAUCCACCCAAGCCAGCCAGGCACCCCUCUGGUUUUUUGAUCAUAGCCAUCCUAAUGGGUGUGACGUGGUAUCUCCUGUGAUUUUGAUUUGCACUUCUCUCAUGACUAACUGUGUCUAGCACCUUUCCAUAUGCUUGUUGGCCAUGUGUAGAUCUUCUCUAGAGAACUGUCUAUACUGAUCUUUUGUCCCCUUUUUAAUUGAGUGUUUAUCUUCUCAUUAUUGAAUUUUAAGAGUUCUUUGUGUAUUCUGGAUACUAGAGCCUUAUCAUGUUUUUCCCUUCUGGGGGUCGUGUUUCCACUUUCUUGAUAGUGUUCUUUGACAUAAAAUAAAUUUAUAUGUCGAAAGUAACUUGAUUUAAGGGAAAAAAAAAACUGGGACUGGUUAUACGGCAAAAAAUGUCCAGGUGUCGUGUGAAUGAUUAAGGUUUGGGGGCAGAGAAGAGUGUUCCGAUCCUGUAGCGUGAAGUGGGUGAGCAGCACGCCUUCCUGUGCAACGUCAGCGGGUUCUACCUGGUAUGUGUGACGGGGUCAUCUCGUUGGAGUGCUUGGAAGGUUUGGUUUUGUUUUUUGUGUCCAGUAAUAGAUAAUGCAUUUAUUCAGAUGUCUUUUCUGCAUUCCCCCCCCCCCCCGCCGCCGCUGCCCCCCCAAGCAUCGAGUUUUUCUCCUUUCAUUCUCUCAUGAUUAAUUGCAUCACGGAAUAUCAUGGCCUCCUGUGAUUUCUGAAACACACCGGUCCCAGGCCUGGAGCUCUAUUCCGCCAACACAGAAAUGAAUCAGAAGGUCCACUUCAGCUUCAGGGAGUUGUCAGGCAGGCUUCCGUAUCAGGACCUCAGGAAAGGCAGAGACGCUUUUAAGAGCAGCCGCAAAGAGCAGACCUCUGAGCCGGACAACUGACUUUCUGUUCCCUGCUUUGCCACUUAGCACGUGACGUUGGCCACAUUUCUAAAAUACUUGAAGCCUGUUUCCUUAAUAAAAUGGGGACAAAAAUAAAGUCAGAACAUAACUCGUGGUUUGCGUGAGGCUGAGAUGAGGGGUCACACGGCACAGGUGCUGGGAGUGAGGGGCCCUGCUGUUUCCGGUCCCUGUCAGCCUCCCCACUUGGCACAGUUGACUGGACACAGAGUGUUGGGUAACGCCGCCCGGGCUGCCACUUCCUUUUGGAGAUUCCAAGUUCUUUGCGAACUUCCAGUGUCUUCCUGAGUUAUAGGCUAGUCCGUAUUUCUAUUUCAUUGUAAGUCAAUGUGCUUGAAUUCAGUUUUCUAAGAAAAUCGCCUUUUUAAAUUAGUGUAGAGCUUUUUUUUUUUUUUUUUUUUUUUUUUUUUGCAUUUUAAUAUCCUUGUCAAUGGUUUUUGGGGGUGGAAGGGAAAAAAAUAGUUUUCACUUUUUAUUCCUAGUUUAUCUUUGACAGACUUUCGAGAAAUCUAUUUUACUGGUUUUUUCAAAGAAGCAGCUUUAGAUAGAAUACCCAGUUCUGCUUUCAUGUUGUAAUUUAUUAAUUUCUGCUUUUACUUCAUUAAUUCUUGUGCUCUCCUCGGAUGUUGUUUGUCCCUCUUUUUCCAGUCUUGCCUUAUAUACUUAGUGCGGAAGGAGGGGGAGGCAGAGCGCGGUCAGGGAGGCUGUGGCAGGAGGCGGUCCUGCUCUAGCCCCACUGUGACCAUGGACAGAGCCCUCCAACGCCGACGCGUGGACCCUCCGUAAGGGAGGCAACUGCUGCCCCCUCCCCGCCCCCGCCACCCCCGCCGCCGGAGGAUGCAUGGAGGCCAGUUAGUGGCCAGGGCCCAGCGGGAGCAUGGGGGGCGUUCUGCAGGGGGGAACGGCCAACUGCUGUUGCUCCGGUCCACAGUUCGGUUUCUAACGAUCACUCCAACCAACAGCCUCCUCGGUGUCCAGAUACUCAGCUGGUCUCCACAGACACAGGCAGGUGAGAUGAAGGGCCCUGCCUUCCCGUGGUGCCCCCGUUCUCCCGGGGGACCGGUCUCCGAUGGUGACUAGAUAGAUGGUGAGUUAACACAGUGUGGCAACGGCCACCGGGGAUGGAGUGCAGCCUGAGGGUGAAGACAGAGCCCUAACCCAGGGGAGACCUUUGAGCUGUCACUUGACAGGUAGGUGAGGCUGUAAGGAAGAGCAUUCCUGGCGGAGAGAAGGGCGUGAGCAAAGCCUCUGAGCUGUGAAGGAAACUGGCUGGAGCUAGGAGUGCAGGUGGGGCUGGCCGGGCCGCGGUGGGGACUCAGGAGGUGCCCCAUGGUGCACCUGAAGGCUCCCCGUCUGUAUUUGGGAAAAGAGUUUAUUGUCCUCAUUUCCUAUUUGCUUUUUGGUUUUAGUUCUGAUGUAUCACUUGAACAUAGUUAUUUAAAGAGUACGCUUUAAAUUUUCCGAGGUUUUGGAAGGGUUGUGUUUUGGUUUUUUUUAACUAUUAUAAUCAAUUUCUAUUUUAAUGAAUGGUUACCUGAGGAAGCGCCCAGUACAAUUUCCGCCUUUUGGAUCUGUGGCUCCCUUUCUUCACUGCUUAAGUGUAUUUGGUGCGUGGAGUCCGGCCCUGCCGCGUGGAGUGCCGGGUGCUGACCGGGCCGACGGGAGCCCACCCCCUCCCCACCCCCACC